CCCUUGGCCUUGACAUACUAAGAACUUUCCAGAGAUGGAUUGGUGCCUUCGGGAACUUAGAUACAGGUGCUGCAUGGCUGUCGUCAGCUCGUGUCGUGAGAUGUUGGGUUAAGUCCGCAACGAGCGCAACCCUUUUCCUUAUUUGCCAGCGGGUCAUGCCGGGAACUUUAAGGAUACUGCCAGUGACAAACUGGAGGAAGGCGGGGACGACGUCAAGUCAUCAUGGCCCUUACGGCCAGGGCUACACACGUGCUACAAUGGUCGGUACAAAGGGUUGCUACCUCGCGAGAGAAUGUUAAUCUCAAAAAGCCGAUCGUAGUCCGGAUCGCAGUCUGCAACUCGACUGCGUGAAGUCGGAAUCGCUAGUAAUCGCGGAUCAGAAUGCCGCGGUGAAUACGUUCCCGGGCCUUGUACACACCGCCCGUCACACCAUGGGAGUUUGUUGCACCAGAAGUAGGUAGUCUAACCGCAAGGAGGACGCUUACCACGGUGUGGCCGAUGACUGGGGUGAAGUCGUAACAAGGUAAGCGUAGAUGA
RNAcentral lists this ribosomal RNA (537 nucleotides) under uncultured bacterium. Its description in RNAcentral is "bacterial SSU rRNA". It matches the Rfam family "Bacterial small subunit ribosomal RNA", at positions 972 to 1509 of the family's 1533-position model. The record is from RNAcentral.